Molecule: ribosomal RNA, 253 nt
Filed under: uncultured bacterium
Lineage: Bacteria
Description: partial 16S ribosomal RNA
Rfam family: Bacterial small subunit ribosomal RNA
Source: RNAcentral
UACGUAGGUGGCAAGCGUUAUCCGGAUUUAUUGGGCGUAAAGGGAACGCAGGCGGUCUUUUAAGUCUGAUGUGAAAGCCGUCGGCUUAACCGGAGUAGUGCAUUGGAAACUGGGAGACUUGAGUGCAGAAGAGGAGAGUGGAACUCCAUGUGUAGCGGUGAAAUGCGUAGAUAUAUGGAAGAACACCAGUGGCGAAAGCGGCUCUCUGGUCUGUAACUGACGCUGAGGUUCGAAAGCGUGGGUAGCAAACAGG